GACGAACGCUGGCGGCGUGCUUAACACAUGCCAGUCGAACGGUAAGGCCCUUCGGGGUACACGAGUGGCGAACGGGUGAGUAACACGUGGGUAAUCUGCCCUGCACUUCGGGAUAAGCCUGGGAAACUGGGUCUAAUACCGGAUAUUCAGUUCCUGCCGCAUGGUGGGGGUUGGAAAGUUUUUCGGUGCAGGAUGAGCCCGCGGCCUAUCAGCUUGUUGGUGGGGUAAUGGCCUACCAAGGCGACGACGGGUAGCCGGCCUGAGAGGGUGAUCGGCCACACUGGGACUGAGACACGGCCCAGACUCCUACGGGAGGCAGCAGUGGGGAAUAUUGCACAAUGGGCGAAAGCCUGAUGCAGCGACGCCGCGUGAGGGAUGACGGUCUUCGGAUUGUAAACCCCUUUCAGUAGGGACGAAGCGCAAGUGACGGUACCUGCAGAAGAAGCACCGGCCAACUACGUG
This 462-nucleotide ribosomal RNA is filed under the name uncultured bacterium. Its description in RNAcentral is "partial 16S ribosomal RNA". It matches the Rfam family "Bacterial small subunit ribosomal RNA", at positions 28 to 507 of the family's 1533-position model. The record is from RNAcentral.